UCGAACGAAGGCCCUAGCUUGCUAGGUGUCCUUAGUGGCGCACGGGUGAGUAACACGUGGGAACAUACCUCAUAGUACGGAAUAACUGCGGGAAACUGUAGCUAAUACCGUAUAUUCCAGAAAUGGGAAAGAUUUAUCGCUAUGAGAUUGGCCCGCGCAAGAUUAGCUUGUUGGUAAGGUAACGGCUUACCAAGGCUCCGAUCUUUAGCUGGUUUGAGAGGAUGAUCAGCCACACUGGGACUGAGACACGGCCCAGACUCCUACGGGAGGCAGCAGUAGGGAAUAUUGGACAAUGGGGGAAACCCUGAUCCAGCAAUGCAGCGUGAGUGACGAAGGCCUUAGGGUUGUAAAACUCUUUCAUCGGUGAGGAUAAUGACAGUAGCCGAAGAAGAAGGACCGGCUAAUUCCGUGCCAGCAGCCGCGGUAAUACGGAAGGUCCUAGCGUUGUUCGGAAUUACUGGGCGUAAAGCGCAUGUAGGCGGAACAAAAAGUUAGAAGUGAAAUCCCUGGGCUCAACCUAGGAAUUGCUUUUAAAACUUUUGUUCUGGAAUUCAGGAGAGGAAAAUGGAAUUUCCAGUGUAGAGGUGAAAUUCGUAGAUAUUGGAAGGAACACCAGUGGCGAAGGCGAUUUUCUGGACUGAUAUUGACGCUGAGAUGCGAAGGCAUGGGUAGCAAACGGGAUUAGAUACCCCGGUAGUCCAUGCAGUAAACGAUGGGUGCUAGUCGUCGGACUUUUGUUCGGUGUCGUAGCUAACGCGUUAAGCACCCCGCCUGGGGAGUACGGUCGCAAGAUUAAAACUCAAAUAAAUUGACGGGGGACCCGCACAAGCAGUGGAGCAUGUGGUUUAAUUCGACGCAACGCGAAGAACCUUACCAGCGUUUGACAUGGGAAGUGCCGGUUACAGAAUGGUAACCCUUCAGUUCGGCUGGCUUCCACACAGGUGCUGCAUGGCUGUCGUCAGCUCGUGUCGUGAGAUGUUGGGGUUAAGUCCCGCAACGAGCGCAACCCUUUAUCGUUAGUUACUAACAGUU
RNAcentral lists this ribosomal RNA (1032 nucleotides) under uncultured bacterium. Its description in RNAcentral is "bacterial SSU rRNA". It matches the Rfam family "Bacterial small subunit ribosomal RNA", at positions 62 to 1126 of the family's 1533-position model. The record is from RNAcentral.